UACGGGGGGAGCAAGCGUUGUUCGGAUUUACUGGGCGUAAAGGGCGCGUAGGCGGCGCGACAAGUCACUUGUGAAAUCUCCGGGCUUAACUCGGAGCGGCCAAGUGAUACUGUCGUGCUAGAGUGCGGAAGGGGCAACUGGAAUUCUCGGUGUAGCGGUGAAAUGCGCAGAUAUCGGGAAGAACACCCGUGGCGAAGGCGGUUCUCUGGGACGGUACUGACGCUGAGACGCGAAAGCGUGGGGAGCGAACAGG
This 253-nucleotide ribosomal RNA is filed under the name uncultured bacterium. Its description in RNAcentral is "partial 16S ribosomal RNA". It matches the Rfam family "Bacterial small subunit ribosomal RNA", at positions 524 to 776 of the family's 1533-position model. The record is from RNAcentral.